GCUCCCGCGACCUCAUAGGAGGGGGCGCCCACGUGAUCGGCCUGUCACAGAAACCGCGGCGGCCCAUCUUGGAAGAGGGCGGAAAGCCGCCUGAGCCCGGCCGGAGGAAGGGGGCUGGCUUUCUGACGGAGCACAACUUGGAGAAGCAGAAGGGAAUGCAGGCUGGGAAGGUGUAACAGCAUCCCAGAAUCCCAGACUAAAGACUGUAUCAUAACUACUCACAGGUGGCCGCUCUUCCUUAUUCAUCUGCCCAGUCUCUUGGUUGGUUGGUUGGUUGGUUUGGUUGGUUGGUUGGUUGUUUUGGCCCAGAGAUUCCCCACCUAAAUAAACUGCCUUGAAAUACACUAGCAAUAAAUUCAAGAGAUCAAAAACGUCA
Lynx canadensis (Canada lynx) is the source of this 376-nucleotide long non-coding RNA. RefSeq lists it as uncharacterized. NCBI's taxonomy places the organism in Eukaryota, Metazoa, Chordata, Mammalia, Carnivora, Felidae. The record is from RefSeq and is a predicted model, not a curated record. The transcript has 2 exons.